Molecule: small nucleolar RNA, 156 nt
Organism: Phoenix dactylifera (date palm)
Lineage: Eukaryota; Viridiplantae; Streptophyta; Magnoliopsida; Arecales; Arecaceae
Product: small nucleolar RNA snoR2/U65
Source: RefSeq, a predicted model, not a curated record
GGUCCAAUGCCACUUCUCUGGUAGCCUGGUGCAUUGACCCGAGAUGCUAUGAUUGGGCCAAGAUCAACUCAAGUUUUGAUGCUUCGCAAGUUGAUAGGAACCUGUGGAUUAGAUGGUUAUUGUCUAUCCACGGAGCCGGUUUAUGCGAUUACAUCU